AAUGAACGCUGGCGGCAUGCCUAACACAUGCAAGUCGAACGAGACCUUCGGGUCUAGUGGCGCACGGGUGCGUAACGCGUGGGAAUCUGCCCUUGGGUUCGGAAUAACAGUUAGAAAUGACUGCUAAUACCGGAUGAUGUCGUAAGACCAAAGAUUUAUCGCCCAAGGAUGAGCCCGCGUAGGAUUAGCUAGUUGGUGAGGUAAAGGCUCACCAAGGCGACGAUCCUUAGCUGGUCUGAGAGGAUGAUCAGCCACACUGGGACUGAGACACGGCCCAGACUCCUACGGGAGGCAGCAGUGGGGAAUAUUGGACAAUGGGCGAAAGCCUGAUCCAGCAAUGCCGCGUGAGUGAUGAAGGCCUUAGGGUUGUAAAGCUCUUUUACCCGGGAUGAUAAUGACAGUACCGGGAGAAUAAGCUCCGGCUAACUUCGUG
RNAcentral lists this ribosomal RNA (433 nucleotides) under uncultured bacterium. RNAcentral describes it as "bacterial SSU rRNA". It matches the Rfam family "Bacterial small subunit ribosomal RNA", at positions 29 to 507 of the family's 1533-position model. The record is from RNAcentral.